UAGCCUAACGGCUGAACCAGCAACUUGGAGGAAUGUAUAGUAAUAGCUGAUUGCGCUAACAAAUAGUUGAUGCAAGAUUGACUCUGUCAAAUAAAAUUCUAGGCAGAAUUAUGAUAAUGACAUUGUCUGCCUAUAUGUCUUGACCAAAUUACGUGCCAGCUGUCGCGGUAAUACGUAGAAGACUAGUGUUAUUCAUCUUUAAUAGGUUUAAAGGGUACCUAGACGGUAAAUCAAGCCUUAGUCGGGACUAAUUUGCUAGAGUUACUUAUGAGGGGGUAUUAAAGUACUGAUGGUGUAGAGAUGAAAUUCUGUCAUACCUCUUUUCGAAAGAAAAAUUACGGCACAGGUAUAGGCGAAAGCAUCCCCUUAUGUGAUAACUGACGUUGAGGGACGAAGGCUUUGUGUAGCGAACAGGAUUAGAUACCCCAAUAGUCAAAGCAGAAAAUGAUGAAUGUCAUAGAUUAGAUUAAUAGUUUAUUCUAUAAAUGAAAGUGUAAGCAUUCCACCUUAAGAGUAAUUUGGCAACAUUGGAACUGAAAUCAUUAGACCGUUUCUGAAACCAGUAGUGAAGUAUGUUGUUUAAUUUGAUAAUCCGCAAAAAACCUUACCACAAUUUGAAUAUUUAUAUUUACCUUUUUCUGUUGAUUUACCUUUCUUUUUUUUUUUAGGUAGUAUAAAAAGAGAAAGAGAAAGAGAAAAAAUCAAAAGAAAAGAAAAAGGUAAGAUAUUUACAAGCGUUGCACGGCUGUCUUCAGUUAAUGUCGCGAGACUUUGGUUAGCUCCAUGAAAUUAACGUAAACCCUUACUUUAUUUUUAUAUAAAGUAGUUCACCGCUAUAUUGGAUCUGAUAACAGGGACUAGGACAAGUCAUCAUGGCCUAAAUAUUGUGGGCUAUAGACGUGCCACAUAAACCUUACAAAAGGAUGUGAAAUUGUGAAAUUGAGCUAAUCCCCCAAAAAUGGAUAAACAUUGUUAA
Molecule: ribosomal RNA, 976 nt
Filed under: Squamarina lentigera
Lineage: Eukaryota; Fungi; Ascomycota; Lecanoromycetes; Lecanorales; Squamarinaceae
Description: SSU rRNA
Rfam family: Bacterial small subunit ribosomal RNA
Source: RNAcentral